This is a non-coding RNA of Physcomitrium patens, 714 nucleotides long. The record is from RefSeq and is a predicted model, not a curated record. Lineage: Eukaryota; Viridiplantae; Streptophyta; Bryopsida; Funariales; Funariaceae.
GGAUAUUGUUCUUCUGUUAACUUGUGUGCAGGCACCUUAUGGGAAAAACGCUUCAUACCUUCUACGGGCAGUACACCUGGGUCGUAGCCAGGCUCCCAUAAUGUUCGAAACCCAGUUCGUUUCCUAAGCACUUGGAUCUGAGGUUUAGCAUAUUUGAGGAGACAGACAGACCUCGUGCCGUUCACUUUUCUUUGAAGGCGUGUGGAGUUGCAGCCAGUUUGCCGUUACUGAGAAGGGUCCACUUGUGCUCACUUCCUUGAUCAAAAUCAAUGUACGUGGCAUCUGAUCGAAUUCAUCAUAUAGAGCCCAUACCUAGCAUCACCCAAUGAACAUUGUAGCCAGCCUUACUUAGAACCAAGCCAACGCACUUCAUGUCCUGCUCCAACUAUGGUUACCUUUUUCCAAGAUUAAACAAAAAUAGGAAAGUGACUUGCAUUUCGUGAUGGAGACGAAGGGACGACAACAUCGAUGCACCUGGUUUGGUUGGAUUUGCUCCUCGGUUCGGUCGUCAUCAAAGCAAUAGUAAUCAGAAUCAGGUACAUCAGUUUGACAGGAUUGAUCCACCUCUACUUGUGGCUGAAACUUCACCACGGGCCCAGCAACUGAUGGUGAACGAUCCCGAGAAUUACUUCGAUUCGGCCUUUCUGUAGACCUCGCUGCACGUCCCUUUGAAAAGGGACGCUUCGAACUAUUAGAUCUUGACACGUUUUGACA